CGACACGCGGGGGGGAGAGGGGGCGCUGCGGCCGCGGAGAGGUGCGAGAGAAAGACGCGGCGUUUCACCUAGCGCGCAUGCGCUCGAGCGGCGGCGGGGAUGGAUGUUUUGAGCGCCAGGUCGCGGUUGCUCUCUCUCUGUGUGGUACCUUUCUCCAGAGGUCACUGCAGAAAACAAGCUUGUGACACCAUCCUGGCAGGAGCAAAUCAGGCUUCGUGGCAAGGUAUUGCAGAACUAUUCCUAUCCUUACUGCACUCUGUAAGGACACCAUGAAGUCUCCUUCUGUUCACCCAUGCUUGGUCACAGC
RNAcentral lists this long non-coding RNA (307 nucleotides) under Gallus gallus (chicken). RNAcentral describes it as "long non-coding RNA NONGGAT011796". The record is from RNAcentral. Lineage: Eukaryota; Metazoa; Chordata; Aves; Galliformes; Phasianidae.